This 484-nucleotide ribosomal RNA is filed under the name uncultured bacterium. RNAcentral's name for it is "partial 16S ribosomal RNA". It matches the Rfam family "Bacterial small subunit ribosomal RNA", at positions 29 to 507 of the family's 1533-position model. The record is from RNAcentral.
AUUGAACGCUGGCGGCAUGCUUUACACAUGCAAGUCGAACGGCAGCGCGGGCUUCGGCCUGGCGGCGAGUGGCGAACGGGUGAGUAAUACAUCGGAACGUGCCCAGUAGUGGGGGAUAGCUCGGCGAAAGCCGGAUUAAUACCGCAUACGACCUGAGGGUGAAAGCGGGGGAUCUUCGGACCUCGCGCUAUUGGCGCGGCCGAUGGCAGAUUAGCUAGUUGGUGGGGUAAAGGCCUACCAAGGCGACGAUCUGUAGCUGGUCUGAGAGGACGACCAGCCACACUGGGACUGAGACACGGCCCAGACUCCUACGGGAGGCAGCAGUGGGGAAUUUUGGACAAUGGGCGAAAGCCUGAUCCAGCAAUGCCGCGUGUGUGAUGAAGGCCUUCGGGUUGUAAAGCACUUUUGGCGGGAACGAAAAGGACUGUGCCAAUACCACGGUGCGAUGACGGUACCCGCAGAAUAAGCACCGGCUAACUACGUG